RNAcentral lists this ribosomal RNA (403 nucleotides) under Verrucomicrobiota bacterium. RNAcentral's name for it is "Verrucomicrobia bacterium partial 16S ribosomal RNA". It matches the Rfam family "Bacterial small subunit ribosomal RNA", at positions 355 to 776 of the family's 1533-position model. The record is from RNAcentral. Lineage: Bacteria; Pseudomonadati; Verrucomicrobiota.
UGGGGAAUAUUGCACAAUGGAGGGAACUCUGAUGCAGCGACGCCGCGUGAACGAAGAAGGCUUUCGAGUCGUAAAGCUCUUUUAUAUGGGAAGAUAAUGACGGUACCAUAAGAAAAAGCCCCGGCUAACUACGUGCCAGCAGCCGCGGUAAUACGUAGGGGGCUAGCGUUGUCCGGAAUCACUGGGCGUAAAGGGUUCGCAGGCGGAAAUGCAAGUCAGGUGUAAAAGGCAGUAGCUUAACUACUGUAAGCAUUUGAAACUGCAUAUCUUGAGAAGAGUAGAGGUAAGUGGAAUUUUUAGUGUAGCGGUGAAAUGCGUAGAUAUUAAAAAGAAUACCGGGGGCGAAGGCGACUUACUGGGCUCAUUCUGACGCUGAGGAACGAAAGCGUGGGUAGCAAACAGG